RNAcentral lists this small nucleolar RNA (132 nucleotides) under Suricata suricatta (meerkat). RNAcentral's name for it is "Small nucleolar RNA SNORA9 (ENSSSUG00005005396.1)". It matches the Rfam family "Small nucleolar RNA SNORA9". From Rfam's summary of the family: ACA9 is a member of the H/ACA class of snoRNA that guide the sites of modification of uridines to pseudouridines. The record is from Rfam by way of RNAcentral. Lineage: Eukaryota; Metazoa; Chordata; Mammalia; Carnivora; Herpestidae.
CUGCAAGCCUCCAGUGUGCCUGGGCCUGGGGUGGCCCUGUGCAUUCCUACAGUGCUUGCAAGAACAUUGGGAAACGGUGUGAGGCCUUGCCCUGCUGCAUCCAGAGCCAGGUUAUAGAAAUUUCGAACAGUU